Molecule: ribosomal RNA, 549 nt
Filed under: Chryseobacterium scophthalmum
Lineage: Bacteria; Pseudomonadati; Bacteroidota; Flavobacteriia; Flavobacteriales; Weeksellaceae
Description: bacterial SSU rRNA
Rfam family: Bacterial small subunit ribosomal RNA
Source: RNAcentral
AGUACGUUCGCAAGAAUGAAACUCAAAGGAAUUGACGGGGGCCCGCACAAGCGGUGGAUUAUGUGGUUUAAUUCGAUGAUACGCGAGGAACCUUACCAAGGCUUAAAUGGGAAUUGACAGGUUUAGAAAUAGACUUUUCUUCGGACAAUUUUCAAGGUGCUGCAUGGUUGUCGUCAGCUCGUGCCGUGAGGUGUUAGGUUAAGUCCUGCAACGAGCGCAACCCCUGUCACUAGUUGCCAUCAUUCAGUUGGGGACUCUAGUGAGACUGCCUACGCAAGUAGAGAGGAAGGUGGGGAUGACGUCAAAUCAUCACGGCCCUUACGCCUUGGGCCACACACGUAAUACAAUGGCCGGUACAGAGGGCAGCUACCUAGCGAUAGGAUGCGAAUCUCGAAAGCCGGUCUCAGUUCGGAUUGGAGUCUGCAACUCGACUCUAUGAAGCUGGAAUCGCUAGUAAUCGCAUAUCAGCCAUGAUGCGGUGAAUACGUUCCCGGGCCUUGUACACACCGCCCGUCAAGCCAUGGAAGUUUGGGGUACCUGAAGUCGGUG